This 460-nucleotide ribosomal RNA is filed under the name uncultured bacterium. RNAcentral describes it as "partial 16S ribosomal RNA". It matches the Rfam family "Bacterial small subunit ribosomal RNA", at positions 338 to 795 of the family's 1533-position model. The record is from RNAcentral.
CCUACGGGUGGCUGCAGUGAGGAAUAUUGGUCAAUGGCCGGAAGGCUGAACCAGCCAUGCCGCGUGAAGGUCAGUGCCCUAUGGGCGUUAAACUUCUUUUGUGCGGGAGCAAUAAUGGUCACGUGUGGCCAGACGAGAGUACCGUACGACUAAGCAUCGGCUAACUCCGUGCCAGCAGCAGCGGUAAUACGGGGGAGGCAAGCGUUAUCCGGAUUUAUUGGGUUUAAAGGGUGCGUAGGCUGUGAGGUAAGUCAGCGGUGAAAUGCCCCCGCUCAACGGGGUGAAGUGCCAUUGAGACUGGCUGGCUGGAAUGCGGAUGCCGUGGGAGGAAUGUGUGGUGUAGCGGUGAAAUGCAUAGAUAUCACACAGAACACCGAUUGCGAAGGCAUCUCACGAAUCCGCGAUUGACGCUGAUGCACGAAAGCGUGGGUAUCAAACAGGAUUAGAUACCCGGGUAGUC